This 468-nucleotide ribosomal RNA is filed under the name uncultured bacterium. RNAcentral describes it as "partial 16S ribosomal RNA". It matches the Rfam family "Bacterial small subunit ribosomal RNA", at positions 28 to 507 of the family's 1533-position model. The record is from RNAcentral.
GACGAACGCUGGCGGCGUGCUUAACACAUGCAAGUCGAACGGAAAGGCCCUGCUUUUGUGGGGUGCUCGAGUGGCGAACGGGUGAGUAACACGUGAGUAACCUGCCCUUGACUUUGGGAUAACUUCAGGAAACUGGGGCUAAUACCGGAUAGGAGCUCCUGCUGCAUGGUGGGGGUUGGAAAGUUUCGGCGGUUGGGGAUGGACUCGCGGCUUAUCAGCUUGUUGGUGGGGUAGUGGCUUACCAAGGCUUUGACGGGUAGCCGGCCUGAGAGGGUGACCGGCCACAUGGGGACUGAGAGACGGCCCAGACUCGUACGGGAGGCAGCAGUGGGGAAUAUUGCGGAAUGGGCGGAAGCCUGAUGCAGCAGCGCCGCGUGCGGGAUGACGGCCUUCGGGUGGUAAACCGCUUUCGCCUGCGACGAAGCGUGAGUGACGGUAAUGGGUAAAGAAGCACCGGCUAACUACGUG